ACAUGCAAGCCGAGCGGUAGAGAUCUUUCGGGAUCUUGAGAGCGGCGUACGGGUGCGGAACACGUGUGCAACCUGCCUUUAUCUGGGGGAUAGCCUUUCGAAAGGAAGAUUAAUACCCCAUAAUAUACUGAAUGGCAUCAUUCGGUAUUGAAAACUCCGGUGGAUAGAGAUGGGCACGCGCAAGAUUAGAUAGUUGGUGAGGUAACGGCUCACCAAGUCUACGAUCUUUAGGGGGCCUGAGAGGGUGAUCCCCCACACUGGUACUGAGACACGGACCAGACUCCUACGGGAGGCAGCAGUGAGGAAUAUUGGACAAUGGGUGAGAGCCUGAUCCAGCCAUCCCGCGUGAAGGACGACGGCCCUAUGGGUUGUAAACUUCUUUUGUAUAGGGAUAAACCUACCCUCGUGAGGGUAGCUGAAGGUACUAUACGAAUAAGCACCGGCUAACUCCGUGCCAGCAGCCGCGGUAAUACGGAGGGUGCAAGCGUUAUCCGGAUUUAUUGGGUUUAAAGGGUCCGUAGGCGGAUCUGUAAGUCAGUGGUGAAAUCUCACAGCUUAACUGUGAAACUGCCAUUGAUACUGCAGGUCUUGAGUGUUGUUGAAGUAGCUGGAAUAAGUAGUGUAGCGGUGAAAUGCAUAGAUAUUACUUAGAACACCAAUUGCGAAGGCAGGUUACUAAGCAACAACUGACGCUGAUGGACGAAAGCGUGGGGAGCGAACAGGAUUAGAUACCCUGGUAGUCCACGCCGUAAACGAUGCUAACUCGUUUUUGGAAUGUAAGUUUCAGAGACUAAGCGAAAGUGAUAAGUUAGCCACCUGGGGAGUACGAACGCAAGUUUGAAACUCAAAGGAAUUGACGGGGGCCCGCACAAGCGGUGGAUUAUGUGGUUUAAUUCGAUGAUACGCGAGGAACCUUACCAAGGCUUAAAUGGGAAAUGACAGGUUUAGAAAUAGACUUUUCUUCGGACAUUUUUCAAGGUGCUGCAUGGUUGUCGUCAGCUCGUGCCGUGAGGUGUUAGGUUAAGUCCUGCAACGAGCGCAACCCCUGUCACUAGUUGCCAUCAUUAAGUUGGGGACUCUAGUGAGACUGCCUACGCAAGUAGAGAGGAAGGUGGGGAUGACGUCAAAUCAUCACGGCCCUUACGCCUUGGGCCACACACGUAAUACAAUGGCCGGUACAGAGGGCAGCUACACUGCGAAGUGAUGCAAAUCUCGAAAGCCGGUCUCAGUUCGGAUUGGAGUCUGCAACUCGACUCUAUGAAGCUGGAAUCGCUAGUAAUCGCGCAUCAGCCAUGGCGCGGUGAAUACGUUCCCGGGCCUUGUACACACCGCCCGUCAAGCCAUGGAAGUCUGGGGUACCUGAAGUCGGUGACCGUAACAGGAGCUGC
Molecule: ribosomal RNA, 1388 nt
Filed under: Chryseobacterium sp.
Lineage: Bacteria; Pseudomonadati; Bacteroidota; Flavobacteriia; Flavobacteriales; Weeksellaceae
Description: bacterial SSU rRNA
Rfam family: Bacterial small subunit ribosomal RNA
Source: RNAcentral